This 585-nucleotide long non-coding RNA is filed under the name Felis catus (domestic cat). RNAcentral describes it as "lncRNA (ENSFCAG00000046432.2)". Lineage: Eukaryota; Metazoa; Chordata; Mammalia; Carnivora; Felidae. The record is from RNAcentral.
CUUACUUAUUUAUUUUGAUUCCUCCUCCAGAGAACUCUUCCAGGGUGCUUCGUGACCUGCCAGCUUCUUGCUUUCUGCUGAAUCUGCUUGUGCAGAGGUUGGAUCAUGUCAAGUCCUUGUCUCACCUGGCUGCCAACAGACUUCUUGCUCAGCACCUCUUGAACCUGCUCAUGUUUAUUUAGAAAAUAACUUUGGUCCAACCAAAGAAAAAAAGAUGGUUUUCUGGGGCACUGGCAAGAGGAAUCUUCAUGGGGAGGAUGGCUGGAUUCCCGCCUCAGAAAGAAAAGGACUGUGCUGUCUGCUCACUUUUGCCAGAUUACUGCUACAUCCAACUCCAGCUCCAAGUUCAUGAAUUCAAGCGAUAGCUCUGCUGAUAAAUUCUUCAGUGGGUUUCACGUACCGUCUUUCUUCCAGCCUCCACAUACGGUACUCGGGGAAUGGCUGAACUCUGCCGCGGUUCAAAUGCAGGCUACUGAGCGGGCACAGAGCCUCCUCUGGCGGAGAACUGAGUGCAAGCAAAUACGAAGAUGCUCACAUCUGAAACAGAGGCUUUACAUGUGCUUUGGAGCUCCUGCCCACACAUGA